Molecule: ribosomal RNA, 424 nt
Filed under: uncultured bacterium
Lineage: Bacteria
Description: partial 16S ribosomal RNA
Rfam family: Bacterial small subunit ribosomal RNA
Source: RNAcentral
AAUUUUGGACAAUGGGCGCAAGCCUGAUCCAGCCAUGCCGCGUGAUUGAAGAAGGCCUUCGGUUUGUAAAGCUCUUUCGGACGGAAAGAAAUCGCGCAGGCUAAUCCCCUGCCCGGUUCACGGUACCGCCAUAAAAAGAACCGGCUAACUACGUCCCAGCAGCCGCGGUAAUACGUCGGGUGCCAUCGUUCACCGGAAUUACUGGGCCUAAAGCGUGCGCAGGCGGUUGAUUAAGACAGGCGUGAAAUCCCCGGGCUUAACCUGGGAACUGCGCUUUUGACUGGUCAGCUAGAGUACGGCAGAGGGGGGUGGAAUUCCACGUGUAGCAGUGAAAUGCGUAGAGAUGUGGAGGAACACCGAUGGCGAAGGCAGCCCCCUGGGCCGAUACUGACGCUCAUGCACGAAGGCGUGGGUAGCAAACAGG